This 657-nucleotide ribosomal RNA is filed under the name uncultured Atheliaceae. RNAcentral's name for it is "eukaryotic LSU rRNA". It matches the Rfam family "Eukaryotic large subunit ribosomal RNA", at positions 38 to 669 of the family's 3401-position model. The record is from RNAcentral. Lineage: Eukaryota; Fungi; Basidiomycota; Agaricomycetes; Atheliales; Atheliaceae.
GCAUAUCAAUUAAGCGGAGGAAAAGAAACUAACAAGGAUUCCCCUAGUAACUGCGAGUGAAGCGGGAAAAGCUCAAAUUUAAAGUCUGGCGGUCUUUUGGCCGUCCGAGUUGUAAUCUGGAGAAGCGUUUUCCGCGUCGGACCGUGUACAAGUCUUCUGGAACGGAGCGUCAUAGAGGGUGAGAAUCCCGUCUUUGACACGGACUGCCGAUGCUUUUGUGAUGCGCUCUCGAAGAGUCGAGUUGUUUGGGAAUGCAGCUCAAAACGGGUGGUAAAUUCCAUCUAAAGCUAAAUAUUGGCGAGAGACCGAUAGCGAACAAGUACCGUGAGGGAAAGAUGAAAAGCACUUUGGAAAGAGAGUUAAACAGUACGUGAAAUUGUUGAAAGGGAAACGUUUGAAGUCAGUCGCGUUGGUCGAGACUCAGCCUUGCUUCUGCCUGGCGUAUUUCUUGGCCGACGGGUCAGCAUCAAUUUUGACCGUCGGAUAAAGGUUGGAGGAAUGUGGCAUCUCUCGGGAUGUGUUAUAGCCUCUGAUUCGCAUACGGCGAUUGGGAUUGAGGAACUCAGCACGCCUUUAUGGUCGGGGUUCGCCCACGUAACGUGCUUAGGAUGCUGGCAUAAUGGCUUUAAGCGACCCGUCUGGAAAACCACGGACCAA